CAUUCCAUUGGCCAGUUAGGAGAUCUAUUAUUUCGUCGUUUAUUUGCGCCCCCUUGUGGCGGGAUUUUCCAAAGACAAUUUUCCUUUGCCAAAUAACUCCCGCCCACAUUAAUAAUUCUUGGCCAUAUUUUUUAUAUAGACUCGGGUUUGCCCCUUGAUGGUUUCCUUAUAGUUUGAAGAACAUUCCUUGGGCCAAUUAGAACAUAUACAAUUUCCUCGUUUAUUGCGCCCCCUAAUGGCGAAAAAAUCCGGAAUUUUUAUCGAACGACAGAUAGGUUAGCACCAAAAUGUGUGUAACAUUUGGACUCGUUCCGAUGUCUAAUUUUGGAUUUCUUUGGAUUUUUGAUUUUCCACGUCUAAUUUAGCUCAUAAACCAAUGUAGCCCUGUACAAAAACCACAAGUUACAGAGCAUAAAAAAUAAUUAACAGUAUAAUAAAAUGCUGUGUUUAAUGUUCAUAAAUAAAUAGAGUUCAUAAUAAUAAAAUGGGUUAAAAUGUGUGCGGAUUAAAAGCAUAAAUAUAAUACGUUUAAUAAAACUAUUUACAGUUAAAAGAUAAAUUAAUAUAAAGGUCUUUAAGUUUAUCAAGGCUAAAAUAUUUGUGAAUUCAGGAUAUAAAAGAGGAAGAAGCCGUGUUUAUGUUUAACUUAACCAUUGACCUGUCACACGUAAAUCAUUUAAUUUGUUUUGUCUUUGGUUGUAUUAAAACUUCACAAGCCAAUCCGAAUAAAGUCUCAACGUGUAAAGGGCGGGACUAGUGCAGCAGGUUAGCGUGGGGAGUAGUGAGCACAUGUAGAGAAAGAAACCUGACCGGACUGAGAGCUAAGAGGAGGCAUCGUAGUGUGGGAAGCAGUUAAGUUUUAUCGUGAGGUCGACUACUCGUGGUCCUGAUUUAAACUUCUUUGUGACCUGCAAAAAGGUGAAUACGAUGUGUAUGCCUCCAUUGUGCUAUAUCUAACUGUUAUAGAGCUGGACGUUGGAGAGAGGGGUUUCCAGCAGAUGGCCCUGCUGUUUUCUGUGUUUUCUUUCCUUGUGACUUCGCCACCGCCAUUGCCCACGUGUGUGUUUGGAUUGCCACCGCCAUUGCCAUUAUCUUCGUGAGAAUAUCAUCCCCCAAUCCCUUUCUGCCCCUACUAAUUACACCCUGGAUUCGUGAGUACUGAUUUACACAUUGCACGUGCUUUUAUUUUGAGCUCAAGCUGAGUGAAGCGGCCAGUACAGUUUUUAGGCCCCACCGCACACAAGCUUCAACUAACAGGCCUGCAACGGGUUAACCUAAUUUAAAGUGUGUUGUUAAUUUGAUUGUGUGUGGUACAUUGAGUUUGCAUUGUUGUAAAUUGGAGAAUCCCGUGCAUCUGAUUUUAUUUAUUUUAUUUGUUUAUUUGUUUUCUUUUCCUAAAAUACAUUCGACUAGUAUUUCAUUUUGUGAAUAAAUAUGUGAUUGAAUACUUUUACAUUUAAAAUACAGUUGUGGUGGUCAUUUAUUAAAAUUAUCCAACAGUAACAUAUGAAUCAAAGUUGUAGUUUCCUACAACGAGCCCAGGCCCAGUCUUAUUGUAUUAACCACUCUAGAUUUAUUAUUUAACUACAUGGGACAAGGGUUACAUAAAUGGAGGCCCCGCUGGGAUAAUAUUAAACUAAAAUGAAUUAGACAAGCAAAAGUAACAUGACCCCACAACUUUAAGAGCAUUUAUUUAAAGUAAUGUGCUAACAGUAACUAGAAGU
This 1724-nucleotide long non-coding RNA is filed under the name Gadus morhua (Atlantic cod). Its description in RNAcentral is "lncRNA (ENSGMOG00000031630.1)". Lineage: Eukaryota; Metazoa; Chordata; Actinopteri; Gadiformes; Gadidae. The record is from RNAcentral.